AGAGUUUGAUCCUGGCUCAGAUUGAACGCUGGCGGCGUGCUUAACACAUGCAAGUCGAGCGGUAGCAGGCGUAGCAAUACGUGCUGACGAGCGGCGAACGGGUGAGUAAUGCUUCGGAAUCUUCCUCGUAGUGGGGAAUAACCUGGGGAAACUCAGGCUAAUACCGCAUACGAACUACGGUUGAAAGCAGGGGAUCGCAAGACCUUGCGCUAUGAGAUGAGCCGAAGUCGGAUUAGCUAGUUGGUGGGGUAAAGGCCUACCAAGGCGACGAUCCGUAGCUGGUCUGAGAGGACGACCAGCCACACUGGGACUGAGACACGGCCCAGACUCCUACGGGAGGCAGCAGUGGGGAAUAUUGGACAAUGGGGGCAACCCUGAUCCAGCGACGCCGCGUGUGUGAAGAAGGCCUGCGGGUUGUAAAGCACUUUUAGUGGGGACAAAAAGCUACGGAUUAAUACUCUGUGGUCUUGAUUUAACCCAAAGAAAAAGCACCGGCUAACUCUGUG
This 506-nucleotide ribosomal RNA is filed under the name uncultured Gammaproteobacteria bacterium. RNAcentral's name for it is "bacterial SSU rRNA". It matches the Rfam family "Bacterial small subunit ribosomal RNA", at positions 8 to 507 of the family's 1533-position model. Lineage: Bacteria; Pseudomonadati; Pseudomonadota; Gammaproteobacteria. The record is from RNAcentral.